RNAcentral lists this ribosomal RNA (253 nucleotides) under uncultured bacterium. Its description in RNAcentral is "partial 16S ribosomal RNA". It matches the Rfam family "Bacterial small subunit ribosomal RNA", at positions 524 to 776 of the family's 1533-position model. The record is from RNAcentral.
UACGUAGGGGGCCAGCGUUGUCCGGAUUUACUGGGCGUAAAGCGUGCGUAGGCGGAAGUUUAAGUGUGGCCUGAAAGCCCCCGGCUCAACCGGGGAGGGUGGCUGCAAACUGGGCUUCUUGAGGGCGAUAGAGGAGAGUGGAAUUCCGGGUGUAGCGGUGAAAUGCGUAGAUAUCCGGAGGAACACCAGUGGCGCAGGCGGCUCUCUGGGACGGUACUGACGCUGAGACGCGAAAGCGUGGGGAGCGAACAGG